RNAcentral lists this ribosomal RNA (491 nucleotides) under uncultured bacterium. Its description in RNAcentral is "partial 16S ribosomal RNA". It matches the Rfam family "Bacterial small subunit ribosomal RNA", at positions 29 to 506 of the family's 1533-position model. The record is from RNAcentral.
AGUGAACGCUGGCGGUAGGCCUAACACAUGCAAGUCGAACGGCAGCACAGUAAGAGCUUGCUCUUACGGGUGGCGAGUGGCGGACGGGUGAGGAAUACAUCGGAAUCUACUUUUUCGUGGGGGAUAACGUAGGGAAACUUACGCUAAUACCGCAUACGACCUACGGGUGAAAGCAGGGGAUCUUCGGACCUUGCGCGAUUGAAUGAGCCGAUGUCGGAUUAGCUAGUUGGCGGGGUAAAGGCCCACCAAGGCGACGAUCCGUAGCUGGUCUGAGAGGAUGAUCAGCCACACUGGAACUGAGACACGGUCCAGACUCCGACGGGAGGCAGCAGUGGGGAAUAUUGGACAAUGGGCGCAAGCAUGAUCCAGCCAUACCGCGUGGGUGAAGAAGGCCUUCGGGUUGUAAAGCUCUUUUGUUGGGAAAGAAAAGCAGCAGGUUAAUACCCCGCUGUUCUGACGGUACCCAAAGAAUAAGCACCGGCUAACUUCGU